AUUGCUUGAGCCUGGGAGAUGGAGGUUGUAGUGAGCUGAGAUCACGCCACUGCACUCCUGUCUGGGCAACAGAGUGAGACCUUGUCUC
Molecule: microRNA precursor, 88 nt
Filed under: Pan paniscus (pygmy chimpanzee)
Lineage: Eukaryota; Metazoa; Chordata; Mammalia; Primates; Hominidae
Description: miRNA (ENSPPAG00000009456.1)
Source: RNAcentral